GAUGAACGCUAGCGGCAGGCUUAACACAUGCAAGUCGAGGGGUAUUGGUUUUCGGACCAAGAGACCGGCGCACGGGUGCGUAACGCGUAUGCAAUCUACCUUUUGCAGAGGGAUAGCCCCAGAGAAAUUUGGAUUAAUACCUCAUAGUAUAGUACUUUGGCAUCAAGGAACUAUUAAAGUCACAACGGCAAAAGAUGAGCAUGCGUCCCAUUAGCUAGUUGGUAAGGUAACGGCUUACCAAGGCUACGAUGGGUAGGGGUUCUGGAGAGGGAGAUCCCCCACACCUGGUACUGAGACACGGACCAGACUCCUACGGGAGGCAGCAGUGAGGAAUAUUGGACAAUGGGCGCAAGCCUGAUCCAGCCAUGCCGCGUGCAGGAUGGACGGUCCUAUGGAUUG
This 399-nucleotide ribosomal RNA is filed under the name uncultured bacterium. RNAcentral's name for it is "bacterial SSU rRNA". It matches the Rfam family "Bacterial small subunit ribosomal RNA", at positions 28 to 425 of the family's 1533-position model. The record is from RNAcentral.